RNAcentral lists this ribosomal RNA (532 nucleotides) under Mesonia sp. Its description in RNAcentral is "bacterial SSU rRNA". It matches the Rfam family "Bacterial small subunit ribosomal RNA", at positions 377 to 907 of the family's 1533-position model. Lineage: Bacteria; Pseudomonadati; Bacteroidota; Flavobacteriia; Flavobacteriales; Flavobacteriaceae. The record is from RNAcentral.
GGCACUCUGAUCCAGCCAUGCCGCGUGCAGGAAGACUGCCCUAUGGGUUGUAAACUGCUUUUAUAGAGGAAGAAACCUCUCUACGUGUAGGGAGCUGACGGUACUCUACGAAUAAGGAUCGGCUAACUCCGUGCCAGCAGCCGCGGUAAUACGGAGGAUCCAAGCGUUAUCCGGAAUCAUUGGGUUUAAAGGGUCCGUAGGCGGGCAGUUAAGUCAGUGGUGAAAGUCUUCCGCUCAACGGGAGAAUUGCCAUUGAUACUGAUUGUCUUGAGUCAUUAUGAAGUGGUUAGAAUGAGUAGUGUAGCGGUGAAAUGCAUAGAUAUUACUCAGAAUACCGAUUGCGAAGGCAGAUCACUAAUAAUGUACUGACGCUGAUGGACGAAAGCGUAGGUAGCGAACAGGAUUAGAUACCCUGGUAGUCUACGCCGUAAACGAUGGUUACUAGCUGUUUGGACGAUUGAGUCUGAGUGGCUAAGCGAAAGUGAUAAGUAACCCACCUGGGGAGUACGUUCGCAAGAAUGAAACUCAAAUG